GGACUACAGGGGUAUCUAAUCCUGUUUGCUCCCCACGCUUUCGCGCCUCAGCGUCAGUUACGGACCAGGUCGCCGCCUUCGCCACCGGUGUUCUUCCCAAUAUCUACGAAUUUCACCUCUACACUGGGAAUUCCACGACCCUCUUCCGCACUCAAGCGGUAACGUAUCAAAUGCAGUCCCCAGGUUGAGCCCAGGAAUUUCACAUCUGACUAUUGCCGCCGCCUACGCGCCCUUUACGCCCAGUCAUUCCGAGCAACGCUAGCCCCCUUCGUAUUACCGCGGCUGCUGGCAC
Molecule: ribosomal RNA, 292 nt
Filed under: uncultured bacterium
Lineage: Bacteria
Description: partial 16S ribosomal RNA
Source: RNAcentral